UGAUAUCUAGAUAAGUGCGUUUACACAA
RNAcentral lists this small RNA (28 nucleotides) under Bombyx mori (domestic silkworm). RNAcentral's name for it is "ovarian small RNA-32540". The record is from RNAcentral. Lineage: Eukaryota; Metazoa; Arthropoda; Insecta; Lepidoptera; Bombycidae.